This 73-nucleotide transfer RNA is filed under the name Paenibacillus allorhizosphaerae. RNAcentral describes it as "Paenibacillus sp. JJ-447 tRNA-His". It matches the Rfam family "tRNA". Rfam says of the family: Transfer RNA (tRNA) molecules are approximately 80 nucleotides in length. The record is from RNAcentral. Lineage: Bacteria; Bacillati; Bacillota; Bacilli; Caryophanales; Paenibacillaceae.
GAGAUCAUGGCGAAAUGGCCAACGCGACGGGUUGUGGCCCCGUUAUCGCCGGUUCGAUUCCGGUUGGUCUCCC